Molecule: ribosomal RNA, 451 nt
Filed under: uncultured bacterium
Lineage: Bacteria
Description: partial 16S ribosomal RNA
Rfam family: Bacterial small subunit ribosomal RNA
Source: RNAcentral
CCUACGGGAGGCAGCAGUGGGGAAUAUUGGUCAAUGGGCGCAAGCCUGACCCAGCAACGCCGCGUGAAGGAAGAAGGCUUUCGGGUUGUAAACUUCUUUUCUGAGGGACGAAAAAAGUGACGGUACCUCAGGAAUAAGCCACGGCUAACUACGUGCCAGCAGCCGCGGUAAUACGUAGGUGGCAAGCGUUAUCCGGAUUUAUUGGUUGUAAAGGGCGUGUAGGCGGGAAAGCAAGUCAGAUGGGACAACUCAGGGCUCAACCCUGAGCCUGCAUUUGAAACUGUGUUACUUGGGUGCUGGAGUGCAGGAGAGGUAAGUGGAAUUCCUGGUGUAGCGGUGAAAUGCGUAGAUAUUAGGAGGAACACCAGUGGCGAAGGCGGCUUACUGGACUGUAACUGACGUUGAGGCUCGAAAGCGUGGGGAGCAAACAGGAUUAGAUACCCGAGUAGUC